ACCAGCUUGAAACUCAAAGGACUUGACAGUAUCUCAUACACCCCUAGAGGAGCCUGUCCUAUAAUCGAUAACCCACGAUAUACCUCACCCGUCCUAGCACCACUCAGCCUAUAUACCUCCGUCGCCAGUCCGCCUGUUAACAGACACUAAAGCGAAUAUAAUAGUCAACCCCUCAUACGACAGGUCAAGGUGUAGCUAAUGAACUGGGCAAAGAUGGGCUACAUUUUCUUUAUUAGAAAAUACCCACGUACUAUGCAAACUGUACAAAAGGUGGAUUUAGCAGUAAGCGGGACAAGGCAAGCCCAUCUGAAGCCAACCAUGAGAUGUGUACACACCGCCCGUCAUCCUCCUCAAAAAUACAUAAACUUAACUAAAAACCCAACAGGAUUAAAGAUGAGGCAAGUCGUAACAUGGUAAGCGUACUGGAA
This 428-nucleotide ribosomal RNA is filed under the name Uroplatus finiavana. RNAcentral's name for it is "partial 12S ribosomal RNA". It matches the Rfam family "Bacterial small subunit ribosomal RNA", at positions 888 to 1510 of the family's 1533-position model. The record is from RNAcentral. Lineage: Eukaryota; Metazoa; Chordata; Lepidosauria; Squamata; Gekkonidae.